This 768-nucleotide ribosomal RNA is filed under the name Triticum aestivum (bread wheat). Its description in RNAcentral is "partial small subunit ribosomal RNA". The record is from RNAcentral. Lineage: Eukaryota; Viridiplantae; Streptophyta; Magnoliopsida; Poales; Poaceae.
AUGCAAAGCCGCCCCGAUCGAUCAAAUCUGGAUCUCGGCGGCGGUGCCUCCUCCCUCUCCCCGCGCACCGGCGCAUCCUUCGGAGCCCUCCCCGCCACCUCCCUUCCCAGCGCCCACUCGACUGCCCCUCCUCGCCACAUCGCGGCCGUGAGAGCCCUCAAAAAGCUGGCCCUGGAGGACUGCUUCAAGAGGAUGAUCUGCUUCGAGACUCUGAACCCGUCGUGCCUGCUGCUGCCGUGCGACCAGGCGCCCGAGAUCUUCGACAUCGCCGGCCACUUCGCUGGGUCAGGCAGCGCCAAGGACCCGCCCAGGAUCCCCGUCAUAUGCAAGCCCAACGUCGGCGCCAUGGAGCCGGCCCUCAAGAUCGCCGACGUCAACCCAGAUCCGUGCGCUACCUCCCUUUGCCGCCGGAUCCCCGCGAGGCAUGCUCAGAUCCGUCCGCCAACCGCUGGCGACGAGGCGUACGGCGCCGCCAUGGCCGUGCUCGAGCGCCUCCAAGAACCCGCAGAGGAGAAUCGAGGCGUGGCGCCUCCUGGACUCCGUUCGUCGCCGCUUUGGCGACGGCGUCCCCGCCGCUGGGCAGGAAGAGUGUUUCCACGCCUUCAACCUCCGUGUCCACGAUGUCGUACUCGAUGCCCACCUGCAAGGUCAGCCUCCCAUCCUCCCGGUCCUUCCCAGCAAAUUGAUCUGGGCUUCAACCAUGAAUUAAACGUCCUGGUCUCUAAUGGGAACUUUUUUGUUACUGAACUUCGUAAUUGGUUUGCAUAA